AUAUAUUUUUAUAUAAAUAUAUUUUCCCAUAGAUGGGAUAUAUUCCACUAUUGAUAAAGGUGGUAUAUAUAUU
RNAcentral lists this transfer RNA (73 nucleotides) under Candidozyma auris. RNAcentral's name for it is "tRNA-Leu". The record is from RNAcentral. Lineage: Eukaryota; Fungi; Ascomycota; Pichiomycetes; Serinales; Metschnikowiaceae.